RNAcentral lists this ribosomal RNA (585 nucleotides) under uncultured bacterium. RNAcentral's name for it is "partial 16S ribosomal RNA". It matches the Rfam family "Bacterial small subunit ribosomal RNA", at positions 355 to 1375 of the family's 1533-position model. The record is from RNAcentral.
UGGGGAAUUUUGGACAAUGGGCGAAAGCCUGAUCCAGCAAUGCCGCGUGUGUGAAGAAGGCCUUCGGGUUGUAAAGCACUUUUGUCCGGAAAGAAAUCCUUGGCUCUAAUACAGUCGGGGGAUGACGGUACCGGAAGAAUAAGCACCGGCUAACUACGUGCCAGCAGCCGCGGUAAUACGUAGGGUGCAAGCGUUAAUCGGAAUUACUGGGCGUAAAGCGUGCGCAGGCGGUUUGCUAAGACCGAUGUGAAAUCCCCGGGCUCAACCUGGGAACUGCAUUGGUGACUGGUAGGCUAGAGUAUGGCAGAGGGGGGUAGAAUUCCACGUGUAGCAGUGAAAUGCGUAGAGAUGUGGAGGAAUACCGAUGGCGAAGGCAGCCCCCUGGGCCAAUACUGACGCUCAUGCACGAAAGCGUGGGGAGCAAACAGGAUUAGAUACCCUGGUAGUCCACGCCCUAAACGAUGUCAACUAGUUGUUGGGGAUUCAUUUCCUUAGUAACGUAGCUAACGCGUGAAGUUGACCGCCUGGGGAGUACGGUCGCAAGAUUAAAACUUAAAUGAAUUGACGGGGUCAUAGCUGUUUCCU